This 2759-nucleotide long non-coding RNA is filed under the name Panax ginseng (ginseng). RNAcentral describes it as "long non-coding RNA (PGIN_LNC015909)". The record is from RNAcentral. Lineage: Eukaryota; Viridiplantae; Streptophyta; Magnoliopsida; Apiales; Araliaceae.
UGAGCUAACAUGUUGAUAAUCAAAGCGUACAUAAUCUGUACAGGAAUAGAAUAAUUCUGAAACUUCUUACUCAUGUCCAUUGCAUAAAGGAAAUGCAAAGGUAAGAUACUUGCCUGAUUCGCUGAUUACAAAUCUCAACUUAGGUUUUAUCUCUUUAUCACAACCUAUCAAUAAUCAGAUCAUUCGUUCGAUUAGAACAAUAUAUCAUAACACAUAGUACUGUCUAUUACAGUCAGCACAUAGUCUAAUCACGUCAUCACAUAAUCGCAGUGAUCAUACUUUUAGUUCAUAUUCUAUACUUGAAAUAUUUUUAUACAUUUUUCAAAUAUCUCAUCCAUGCUCUUACAGAAGUCUUUUCUUUCUAUUAUAGGGUCUGACAUUUGUCGGCGUACCGACAGCUUUAUCGGGUAAAUACUGAGUCUAAGACUCUUAUCCUAUACCUCAACAUCUGUAAAUAUCAAACAUUUUAUUUUUAAUCAUUUUCGAAUUUUCCAGAAAUUGAAAAAUUUAAAAUAAUUCAAAUCUGUCACUACCGGGCCUAUAGUGAUAUAACUGUUACUAUAGGUGUUCCUCAAAACUUCAUAACUUCAUAAUCGGUUCUCAAGUCAGCUAGUUUGGCCGGCUAUAACUUUCAAACAUCGGAAUCAUAAUUAAAUGAUUUAAACAUUAAACAAUUCCAUUAUCAUUAAUAAUUAAUUUAUAUUAAACUAUUAAUGAAACCAUUGCCAAAAUAUAAAAGUUAUUUAUAAUAACUCAAACUAUUUUUAAAACAUUUAUAUUACCCUUAAAUGAUUUUUAAAACAAUUAAAAUCAUUUUUAAAUAAUCACCAUUAAUAUAUAAAUAUUAAUGUACUAUUCAUCCAAAUAUUAAAAGUCAUUAAUUAUAACUUAAAAUAUUUUUAAAUCCUUAAUAUCCUCUUUAAAUGAUUUUUAAAUAAAUAAAACCAUUUUUAAACUAUUUAUUUAAUAAUAAUUAUUAAAUAAACUAAAUAUCAUUAAUAUUAUCUUAAUAUCAUUAAUAUUAAAUUAUUAAUGAAAUUAUCCUUUAAAUAUUAAAAGUUAUAUUUUAUAACUUAAAAUAUUUUUAAAUACCUUAAUUUCAUUUAAAAUGAUUUUUAUAAUAUUAAAAUCAUUUUUAAACUAAAUUAUUUAAUAUAAUCAUUAAAUAACUUUAAUAUCAUUAAUAUAUAAUUAAUUAAUGAAAUUCAUCACAAAAUAUUAAAAGUCAUGGAAAAUAACUCAAAAUAUUUUCUUAUACCAUAAAAUAAUUUUUCAUGAUUUUUCAUGAAUUAAAACUAUUUUUAAAUCAUUUAUUUAAUAUUAUAAUUAAAUAAAUAAAUACCUUUUAUAUUCCAAAAAUAUUAAAUAUUUAUGAAAUAUACUCAAAAUAAUUAAAAACUAUUUUUCAGACUUUAAAAUAAUUUUUCAUAAUUUAUUUGGUAUUUUUAAUAAUUAAAAUCUAAUUUUUCUAAUUUUUAAAUCAUUUUUCGGAAAAUCAGAAAUUAAAAUAAUUAAAACUGUCGCUAAAGGCCCCUAUAGUGACAGAAGUGUCGCUAUAGGUGUUCUUGAGCCUACCCAGAUCUUCAUAAGGCAGAACCGAGUGGCCUACUUUGACCGUGAAUAACUCUCUCAUCUUAACGAAUUUGGACAAUCUAUAAAUUGGGUCUUGUAGAGGAAAUACAAGACUACAAGAUCCAACAAUCAUAACCUCUAAACAAACAUCAGAUCUGGGAUAAAUCAGCCAUCAAAGUAGCUACCAAAGCUGUUCUUCACGAAGAACAGUUCGAGGUGCCUACUUUGGACCUCUAUAACUUGAUGAUCGUGUAACGUUUAUGUGAUAUAUCAAUUGCAGUGUGUAGAAAACAUGUAGGAGUACAACUCUAACACUUAAUAUCAUCAUAAAAACAAGAAAUCAAGAAUCUAAAGUAUGGUCAAACCUUGUCAGAAAAAUUAAUACUUAGAAAAUUCUGGGCUGCCCAGAAUUUUCUGGUCAAUGCCGGUCAACCCACUUUGACCUUAUAUAACUCUUAAUCCGUAAUAUAUAUGGACCUGAUUCUUUUUGGAGGUUAAAUACCACAUAACGUGCUACACAUAUCAACCUUUAGAACACAAAAUACAUUAAAUAUGACCGACCUAUAAGGCCUGACAUUUGCCAAAAAAACAUUUCUGGACACUUAGAAUAUUUUCUGGGUUUGAAAAACAGCCGGUCAAUGCCGGUCAACCCACUUUGACCGCUUAUAAAUCCCGAUCUGAAAUAGAUAUAGACCUGAUUCCUUUUGGAGUUUAAAGACCACAUAACAAGAUACACCUAAAAACUUUUAAACAACAAAAAAUGUAAAUAAUCACAGAGAUAUAAGUCUUGACAUUUGCCCAAAAAUCACAGAAUUCGGUUUUUCCAACUUGCUCAAAUCUUCAAAUUCGUGCACUUUGAUGUUAUGGGUUCAUGAUUUUACAACCCAGAACAUUAAUAGACUCCCUAUUACACUACUUUAAACAAUCAAUUGCAUCAAUUAACAUCGAAUCAAAGGAUUUCAAAAUUAGGGAAUUUCAUACCUUUUCUAGCUUCGAUUUUUGAUUUUUUUGGCUUUGAUGCUUCUGAUUUGUUGUUUGUGAUGGUUGGGCUUUGAUUAGGAGCUUAUGGGAAAGAUAAUUUCAUUGGUAAGAGGUUGGGAGAGAUAUGGCCAAGUGUUUGUGAAUAAAUAGGCUAAAUAAUGUACAUUUCUCUCUCUUAAAUUAUGUAAAUCAUGUAUGCAAUCAUG